Small nucleolar RNA from Physeter macrocephalus (sperm whale), 209 nucleotides. Its record names the gene U3. It matches the Rfam family "Small nucleolar RNA U3". Rfam says of the family: Small nucleolar RNAs (snoRNAs) are involved in the processing and modification of rRNA in the nucleolus. There are two main classes of snoRNAs: the box C/D class, and the box H/ACA class. The record is from Ensembl. Lineage: Eukaryota; Metazoa; Chordata; Mammalia; Artiodactyla; Physeteridae.
UAUUAUGGUUUUAGGAGUUAUUUCUAUAGGUUGUUACUGGACGAGGUACCGAGGUUCCGUGUAGAGUCCUCAAAGUCCACGAGGAGGGGGGUUCUCCUCUGAGUGUGAAGCCAGCUCUUGGUGUUGCUUCUGUAACUGCCUUUUGCCUUUGAUGACUGCUCUUUUCGCCUGGAGGAGUAAGUAGAGGGAGGGAACGCCAUCUGAGUGGU